This is a long non-coding RNA of Bos taurus (domestic cattle), 813 nucleotides long. The record is from Ensembl. NCBI's taxonomy places the organism in Eukaryota, Metazoa, Chordata, Mammalia, Artiodactyla, Bovidae.
CCCAGGAGAGGCAUUUGCUUAUCUCUCCACACAGAACACCCAGAGUCUUCAGAGGGGUCAGCGUGUGGUGGGAAGGGGUUCAGGAGGCUUAGCUUCCUUUAGAGAGUUCACCCGGCUUGUCUGGGGAAGAAGAGGCGAGCUGGCUACCGGUGUGGUUAUUCUUCUCAUUAAUAUGGCUUUGCUUCCCCCCAAACACUUCCUUGUGUUCAGGGUCAGCCCCUCUUCCCAGAAGCGAUGCCUCGUCUUCUCCUCCCCGAUCCCAUCUCCCCUCCAUACAAGGUCUCAACCAAGCAGAUGAGAACGAAAGAUUUAUUUUGUAAAACUCGGGGACUUCCCUGGUGGCUCAGUGCAAAAAGACAACAGAAGGAUACAUCUGGAAGUCUCUCCUGUCACUAGAGGGGCACACAAGUGGCCAGAGAGAGCCUCUUUUUCAUGGAACGUUCCAGGUCAACCCUCGCCUCACCUUCUCUCCCAGCUGGGAGUUACGAGCGCAGUCUUUCCCAGUUGACUCCUUUCUGCCAGGAAGGAGACUAGAGGAUUCUUCCUGGGGACCUGGCACAAGAGAAAGUCCUACUGAUGCAGAUGUUCGGUUUCCACAGAGAAAGGCACAGCAGAGGUCCUCAGCGUUGGAAAGUUGUAAGAGGAUGUUGUACAUCUAAGUGAUAGGAAGCCUUGGGAGAGAUUUCUCCAGGAGUAUGAAACUGAUAAAAUACCUGGAACCUGGUCACAAGAGGAGGAGAUCCCCCAGCAGGGAACACAUCUGUCCUGUUGGUUUGGAGCCCACGGUCACAUCCCUUGGAUAUAGUUAUAAGC